UACGUAGGCAGCGAGCGUUGUUCGGAGUUACUGGGCGUAAAGCGUGCGUAGGCGGUGUCUUAAGUUUGUUGUGAAAUCUCCCGGCUUAACCGGGAGGGUGCGGCGAAUACUGAGAUGCUGGAGUGCCGGAGAGGUAAGCGGAAUUCCUGGUGUAGCGGUGAAAUGCGUAGAUAUCAGGAAGAACACCCGUGGCUAAGGCGGCUCUCUAGUACGGUACUGACGCUGAGACGCGAAAGCGUGGGGAGCGAACAGG
This 253-nucleotide ribosomal RNA is filed under the name uncultured bacterium. RNAcentral describes it as "partial 16S ribosomal RNA". It matches the Rfam family "Bacterial small subunit ribosomal RNA", at positions 524 to 776 of the family's 1533-position model. The record is from RNAcentral.